This 76-nucleotide transfer RNA is filed under the name Acidobacteriota bacterium. Its description in RNAcentral is "Acidobacteria bacterium (hot springs metagenome) tRNA-Lys". It matches the Rfam family "tRNA". From Rfam's summary of the family: Transfer RNA (tRNA) molecules are approximately 80 nucleotides in length. Their secondary structure includes four short double-helical elements and three loops (D, anti-codon, and T loops). RNAcentral also lists the same sequence under 3 other names. The record is from RNAcentral. Lineage: Bacteria; Pseudomonadati; Acidobacteriota.
GGGCCGUUAGCUCAAUUGGCAGAGCAACUGACUCUUAAUCAGUAGGUUGGGGGUUCGAUUCCCUCACGGCUCACCA